GUGUCAGCAGCCGCGGUAAUACGUAGGGGGCAAGCGUUAUCCGGAUUUACUGGGCGUAAAGCGCGCGUAGGCGGAAGUUUAAGUCUGGCCUGAAAGCCCCCGGCUCAACCGGGGAGAGUGGCUGGAAACUGGGCUUCUGGAGGGCGUUAGAGGAGAGUGGAAUUCCUGGUGUAGCGGUGAAAUGCGUAGAUAUCAGGAGGAACACCGAUGGCGAAGGCAGCUCUCUGGGGCGGCCCUGACGCUGAGGCGCGAAAGCGUGGGGAGCGAACGGGAUUAGAUACCCCCGUAGUCC
Molecule: ribosomal RNA, 292 nt
Filed under: uncultured bacterium
Lineage: Bacteria
Description: partial 16S ribosomal RNA
Rfam family: Bacterial small subunit ribosomal RNA
Source: RNAcentral